RNAcentral lists this ribosomal RNA (600 nucleotides) under Rossellomorea vietnamensis. Its description in RNAcentral is "bacterial SSU rRNA". It matches the Rfam family "Bacterial small subunit ribosomal RNA", at positions 84 to 668 of the family's 1533-position model. The record is from RNAcentral. Lineage: Bacteria; Bacillati; Bacillota; Bacilli; Caryophanales; Bacillaceae.
CCCUGAAGUCAGCGGCGGACGGGUGAGUAACACGUGGGUAACCUGCCUGUAAGACUGGGAUAACUCCGGGAAACCGGGGCUAAUACCGGAUAGUUCUUUUCCUCGCAUGAGGAAAAGUGGAAAGGCGGCUUCGGCUGCCACUUACAGAUGGACCCGCGGCGCAUUAGCUAGUUGGUGAGGUAACGGCUCACCAAGGCAACGAUGCGUAGCCGACCUGAGAGGGUGAUCGGCCACACUGGGACUGAGACACGGCCCAGACUCCUACGGGAGGCAGCAGUAGGGAAUCUUCCGCAAUGGACGAAAGUCUGACGGAGCAACGCCGCGUGAGUGAUGAAGGUUUUCGGAUCGUAAAGCUCUGUUGUUAGGGAAGAACAAGUGCCGUUCGAAUAGGGCGGCACCUUGACGGUACCUAACCAGAAAGCCACGGCUAACUACGUGCCAGCAGCCGCGGUAAUACGUAGGUGGCAAGCGUUGUCCGGAAUUAUUGGGCGUAAAGCGCGCGCAGGCGGUCUCUUAAGUCUGAUGUGAAAGCCCACGGCUCAACCGUGGAGGGUCAUUGGAAACUGGGGGACUUGAGUACAGAAAGAGGAAAGUGGAAUU